This 425-nucleotide ribosomal RNA is filed under the name uncultured Nitrospira sp. RNAcentral's name for it is "bacterial SSU rRNA". It matches the Rfam family "Bacterial small subunit ribosomal RNA", at positions 354 to 796 of the family's 1533-position model. Lineage: Bacteria; Pseudomonadati; Nitrospirota; Nitrospiria; Nitrospirales; Nitrospiraceae. The record is from RNAcentral.
GUGGGGAAUAUUGCGCAAUGGGGGAAACCCUGACGCAGCGACGCCGCGUGGAGGAUGAAGGCCUUCGGGUUGUAAACUCCUUUUGUAGGGGAAGAUAAUGACGGUACCCUGCGAAUAAGCCACGGCUAACUCUGUGCCAGCAGCCGCGGUAAGACAGAGGUGGCGAGCGUUGUUCGGAAUUACUGGGCUUAAAGGGCGAGUAGGCGGUGGAGCAAGUCUGAGGUGGAAUCCUACGGCUUAACCGUAGAACUGCCUUGGAAACUGUUUUACUUGAGUCAGUGAGGGGAGGGCGGAAUUCCUGGUGUAGCGGUGAAAUGCGUAGAUAUCAGGAGGAAGGCCUGUGGCGAAAGUGGCCCUCUGGCACUGUACUGACGCUGAGGCGCGAAAGCGUGGGGAGCAAACAGGAUUAGAAACCCUAGUAGUCC